Molecule: unclassified non-coding RNA, 1628 nt
Filed under: Hevea brasiliensis (rubber tree)
Lineage: Eukaryota; Viridiplantae; Streptophyta; Magnoliopsida; Malpighiales; Euphorbiaceae
Source: RNAcentral
AUUUCUGCAUUUCUCUUCACUUGAUUCUUUUUAUUUAACCAAUGGAUGCUGAAUUCAACCACCACUAUCACCGUCGACCACUGCUGAGACUCAGAUGCUCAGUUCAGAACUAUGAUUGGGGCAAACCAGGCACGGAUUCCCAGGUUGCUAGGCUUUUUUCCUUGAAUUCUGGGUCUAAAAUUGAACUUGACAAGCUCUAUGCCGAGCUUUGGAUGGGAACCCACGAGUCUGGACCGUCUUUUCUGCUGGAAAGUGAUGUGGAGAAUGGGACUUCAAUUGGGUCUCAAUGUAUCACUCUGAAAGAGUGGAUUGCCAAGAACCCUAAUGUGCUUGGAGAUAAGGUUUUUGAUAAGUGGGGUUCUGAUCUCCCUUUCUUGUUCAAGGUACUUUCUGUAGCAAAAGCAUUGUCGAUUCAGGCUCACCCUGAUAAAGAAUUGGCCAAAAUGCUGCACAAGUUGCAGCCAGAUGUUUACAAGGAUGAUAACCAUAAGCCUGAGAUGGCUUUGGCCAUAACUGAGUUUGAGGCCCUUUGUGGUUUUAUCAGUCUUGAGGAGCUCAAAGGGGUACUUCAAAAUAUUCCUGAGAUUGUAGAACUGGUUGGCUGUACAGAUGCCAACCAAGUUUUACAUAUGAACGAGCAGGAUGGGGAGGAGAAAGUAAAAUCAGUCCUGAGAUCAAUUUUUAGCCAACUUAUGUCUGCUAGCAAAGAGAUGACAACUAAAAUAAUAUCAAAAUUGAAAACUCGAUUGCACCUAGAAAGCCAGGUGAGGAAGUUGACAGACAAGGAACGGCUGGUCUUGCAGUUAGAAAAGCAAUAUCCAGCCGAUAUUGGCAUUAUAUCAGCCUUCUUUUUCAAUUAUGUGAAGCUUAAUCCUGGUGAAGCACUGUAUCUUGGGGCAAAUGAGCCCCAUGCAUAUCUAUACGGUGAUUGUAUUGAAUGCAUGGCAACAUCAGACAAUGUUGUGCGGGCUGGCCUUACUCCCAAGCAUCGGGAUAUCCAAACAUUAUGUUCCAUGCUCACAUACAAACAGGGAUUCCCUGAAAUCCUGAAAGGAUUUCCUCUGAGUCCGUAUAUAACAAGAUAUCUCCCACCUUUUGAUGAAUUUGAGGUUGAUAGCUGUGUUCUUCCUAGGGGGGCAUCAACAGUGUUCCCUGCAGUCCCAGGUCCUUCCAUAUUUGUGAUCACAGCUGGGGAGGGAAGAAUGCACACCGAAUCAUCUAAAGAGGUUGUUACUGAAGGAGAUGUCCUGUUUGCACCUGCCAACAUUGAGAUUAGCAUAACAACUGUAUCUGAGCUGCAUCUGUAUAGGGCUGGUGUGAAUAGCAGGUUCUUCCAAAUUUUGUGAGUGGGAAGACAGAGCAGCUCUCAGUUUUAGGUUGGUGAUUUUCGAUUGAUUUUCAGAUUUUGCAUGCCUCAUGCUAUGUAUUGCCAACUUUUUCUUUUUACUUUUUUUAUUUUUAUAUAUUCUGUAUUUAUGUAAUAUAAUAUAAUAUUAGAACUUGCAUGUAAAUGCAAUCAGAGGCGGAUUUAGAAAUUUUUAUUGUUGGGGCAUUAUAUAUACGUGUAAAUUUAGGGAACUUUUUUUUAUUUAGAUCAAUCAAUAAUGGAAUAAGAUAGAAGAUAUAUA